GCCCAGGUGGUGAAAUUGGCAGACACGCAGCGUUCAGGGCGCUGUGACCGCAAGGUCGUGGGAGUUCAAAUCUCCCCCUGGGCACAA
Molecule: transfer RNA, 87 nt
Filed under: Candidatus Liptonbacteria bacterium GWC1_60_9
Lineage: Bacteria; Candidatus Liptoniibacteriota
Also listed under: 2 other names
Description: tRNA-Leu
Rfam family: tRNA
About the family: Transfer RNA (tRNA) molecules are approximately 80 nucleotides in length. Their secondary structure includes four short double-helical elements and three loops (D, anti-codon, and T loops).
Source: RNAcentral